AAGUUAAAUAAAGUCCUGAUGUGUUAGUUGUACACCUAGUUUUGACCGAACAUUUUUUUGAUUUGGGAGCCCGCAUUUUUAAAUGGCGUACAUGCCUCUUUUCAUUCGGUAAAGAGGACUUACAAGAUUUAAAAGAGGGCACCCACCUGCUGAGAGCGGGUUCAAAACAAAGGAAAGCUGCAACGGCACUAUUGGGACUUU
RNAcentral lists this non-coding RNA (201 nucleotides) under Bacillus subtilis subsp. subtilis. RNAcentral describes it as "6Sb RNA". It matches the Rfam family "6S / SsrS RNA". Rfam says of the family: E. coli 6S RNA was the first non coding RNA to be sequenced, but its function was unknown until recently. It consists of 184 nucleotides that fold into an extended hairpin structure with a large single-stranded internal bulge. The record is from RNAcentral. Lineage: Bacteria; Bacillati; Bacillota; Bacilli; Caryophanales; Bacillaceae. RNAcentral also lists the same sequence under 2 other names.